Molecule: ribosomal RNA, 642 nt
Filed under: uncultured archaeon
Lineage: Archaea
Description: bacterial SSU rRNA
Rfam family: Archaeal small subunit ribosomal RNA
Source: RNAcentral
UGAGAGGAGGGGCCCGGAGAUGGGUACUGAGACACGGACCCAGGCCCUAUGGGCGCAGCAGGCGAGAAACCUUUGCAAUGUGCGAAAGCACGACAAGGUUAAUCCGAGUGUCUCCUGNUAAAGGAGUCUUUUGUCAGUUGUAGAAUCACUGGUGAAUAAGGGGUGGGCAAGUUCUGGUGUCAGCCGCCGCGGUAAAACCAGCACCUCGAGUGGUCAGGAGGUUUAUUGGGCCUAAAGCAUCCGUAGCCGGUUGCAUAAGUUUUCGGUUAAAUCUAUGCGCUUAACGUAUAGGCCGCCGAAAAUACUGUGCAGCUAGGGAGUGGGAGAGGUACACGGUACUCGAUAGGAAGGGGUAAAAUCCUUUGAUCUAUUGAAGACCACCUGUGGCGAAGGCGGUGUACCAGAACACGUUCGACGGUGAGGGAUGAAAGCUGGGGGAGCAAACCGGAUUAGAUACCCGGGUAGUCCCAGCUGUAAACGAUGCAGACUCGGUGAUGCAUUGGCUUGUGGCCAAUGCAGUGCCACAGGGAAGCCGUUAAGUCUGCCGCCUGGGAAGUACGUACGCAAGUAUGAAACUUAAAGGAAUUGGCGGGGGAGCACCACGAGGGGUGAAGCCUGCGGUUCAAUUGGAGUCAACGCCGG